RNAcentral lists this small RNA (2462 nucleotides) under Rattus norvegicus (Norway rat). RNAcentral's name for it is "uncharacterized LOC102546363". The record is from RNAcentral. Lineage: Eukaryota; Metazoa; Chordata; Mammalia; Rodentia; Muridae.
GGAACUCCAUACUGAUUUCAAUAUGGCUACACUAAUGUCCAUUUGUAAAGAUCUCCCACCCUCUGUGCACAUCAGCAUCUUCCCUCUUGACUUGCUUUGAGCCUAAAAUCUGAUCUGGUUUGAAGAAAGUUUCAUGAACUGCUGAGAAGAACCCAUUUACCACAGGUAUUGGGUGAAAUAAUUCUGCUGGUGUCUUGUCUGUGUGUCUCGGAGGCAGAGUAUGAGGUGCUGUUGAUGGACUCAGGGUCUUCUUGCAUGCUUAGCAGGUACAUUAUCUAUGCCACCACCUAGCUAACCCUCUUCUGAUGCUUAAAUCCUGAGCAGUUCCCGCAGUGAUAUACUGUAUCCAUGCACUCUCCAUAGCGAUACACUGUAUCCAUGCACUCUCCACAAGCAGUGGGGGGGAUUUUAGUGGUCUUUGCUACAAUGGGUACACAGGAUGAUAGACAGAACCCUGCCAAGGUGCCCUAAGGUUAAUAUGAAAAUAACCUGCCAAGACAUAAGUGGGAAAGAUGGAGAGUGAUGGGCAGCAUAGACUGUAGGUCACAAACCUACCAACACGGGGAAGCUUCGUGUAUACUUAAUAUUGUUUAAAAUAGCAUUGGCUGCCAGGCAUGGUGGACACACCUUUAAUCUCAGCAUUCUGGAGGCAGAGGCAAGCAGAGUGAGUCUCAGGACAGGCAGGGCUGCACAUAAUAAUCCUAUCUCAAAAAACUAACAAACGAACAGCAUUAACGAGCAUCCAGCCUAGUGUCCAGAAUACCCUACACUGCUCUCUCCCUCAGAGUCCUCCCACUGCACUAUGCUUGUGUUCUCCUCCUCAUCCUCCUCCAUUGUGUCCAUGCUCCUUUCCUUACGUCCUCCCUACCCUGUGCUCAAGCUCCUCCUCCAUCAUCCUAUUUCCUGAAUUAUGUCUACCAGUUUGUGGAUUUUGGAGACAGGGACUUUCUGGUCAGUUUCAUUCCUUGUGGAACAUUUGUUACAUGGCUGACUCUUUUUGUUGGUUUUUUUUUUUUUUUUAAUGCCCUUGGUAUAAGCAGUAAGCAAUGGACUUUAAGGCUAGAGCUGCCAGACCCAUUGGUCAGUCUUAAGGCGUUAUGCUUAAAUGUGCCUCCAGACUACCGUGUUUACCCUUAGUUCCCAGUUGCUAUGGCUAAUCUUGGUCAUCAACUUGAUAUACAUGGGAAAACAGAACAUCAAUUGAGGCACUGCCUUCAUCAGAUUGGCUUGUGUAUGUCUAUGGGCGGGGCAUUUUCUUGAUUGUUAACUGAUAGAAGAAGGCUUAGCUCGCUGUGGGUUGAGCCCCCACCCUGGGCAGGUGGUCCAUGAACCUGGAAACAAGCAGAAAGAAACCAUGGUUUCCGAAUCAAGCUACUUCUCUCGAUGAUGGACUAUAAUUUGUAAGGCAAAUAAAUCCUUCCCUUUUCUCCCCCAAGUUUCUUUUGGUCACAGAUUCUGAACACAGCAACAAAAAUCUAGGAGAGUAGCUGAAUGGUGUUGGAGGAGCACAGAGGAGCCCUCCCAGUGGAUCCCUGUCUCCUGGGGUGAAGCUCCCAGGAAGUGGAUCUGGGGAAGCUCCAGCCAUGAGGACUAUGAAAAUAAACUGCCAACGAUGUGAAUGGGACAGAUUCAAAGUGAUGGAAGAUUUUCAGAGACCGCAGGCUGCACGCUGCGACAGGGAUCCAGAGAUGAACAUCUGCUUUUGGUGAGGGACGGAGCCCUGGUCCAGCAUCAAGUCAGCCAACCCACCUACCAGGGCAUCUGCCUGGGUCCUCACCAACAGACAUGGGUGCAGAACUGAAGCCAGGCAGCCACCGGGCCAGAUCCCCCACCCAGGUCUGAUAUCUGACUCUGGGCAACCCCAAUCUAAAGACAUUAAUAAAACUUUCUAAAAAAUGGUUCUUUCAUCUGAACUGACCCAUCCUCUGUGUGGCGUGGUAAAAUUUCAUGGCCUUGGGCUCAGUACUGCCUCUGUGUAUGUGAGUCACCCCUCUGUCUAGCUUUUUACAUCACCCACCCUGUAGUGGCCUGGGAGUUAUUUCCACAAUCAGAUCAACUGCCACCAUAUACCAAAGACCAGCCAUGAAAGUCCUUCCUUCGGGUGAAAAAGGGAAACUCGCAGUGUAAUAAACAAAUUAAAAACCAGCUUGUAGUGCUUGCUAAGAUCUGGGUAAGGAUGUUCCAGGGUUGGGCGUGGCAGUAAACUUUUAGCAAUCCUCCUGCUUCAGCCUCCUGGUGCUGGAAUUACAAAUGUGUGCCACUGUGCCCAGUUGCUGUUUUUAGUUUCUGGCCAUGGCUGAAUUUUAGCUUAUAAAAUCAUAGAUGAAAGAAAAGUAGUCAAGCCAGACACUGCGUGAGGUUUCAGACAACCAAUGGGCUCUUAGAAGACAUUCCCUAGGGGGCUGGAGAGAUGGCUCAGCGGUUAAGAGCACUGACUGUUCUUCCAAAGGUCCUGAGUUCAA